RNAcentral lists this ribosomal RNA (327 nucleotides) under uncultured eukaryote. Its description in RNAcentral is "partial 18S ribosomal RNA". It matches the Rfam family "Eukaryotic small subunit ribosomal RNA", at positions 1470 to 1796 of the family's 1831-position model. The record is from RNAcentral.
CCCUUAGAUGUUCUGGGCCGCACGCGCGCUACACUGACGAAUGCAACGAGCUUAUAACCUUGGCCGAAAGGUCUGGGUAAUCUCCAAAUUUCGUCGUGAUGGGGAUAGAUUAUUGCAAUUAUUAAUCUUCAACGAGGAAUGCCUAGUAAGCGCAAGUCAUCAGCUUGCGUUGAUUACGUCCCUGCCCUUUGUACACACCGCCCGUCGCUCCUACCGAUUGAAUGGUCCGGUGAAGCGCUCGGACCGCGGCCUCUUGACGGUUUUCCGUCGAUUGGCUGUGGGAAGUUCGUUAAACCUUAUCAUUUAGAGGAAGGAAAANUCGUANCA